Long non-coding RNA from Octopus bimaculoides (California two-spot octopus), 1089 nucleotides. Lineage: Eukaryota; Metazoa; Mollusca; Cephalopoda; Octopoda; Octopodidae. The record is from RefSeq and is a predicted model, not a curated record.
UUCAACAUUGCAGUACAAAUUUUUGUGACAUUUGGACCUCUAUUUAUUAACGAAAACAAGUAAACACAAUUUUUGUGUUUACUUGUGACAUCAACACACAUACACACAUACAGAAUAUGCACACAUAUAAUGAAUGUCAUGGCAUGUCAAUCAACACAAGCAUACAUCCACUAUCUGUGACAUAUACACACACAUAGUCCUUGCUUCUCUAAGGAAAGGAAAACGUUGACUUUUUGACACACACAGUAUUUUAAUUAUUUAGAAAUAUUUUUCAGUGAAUGUGAUUUCGAAAAUCGUGCCAAUGCAAAGUGCAGCCACACCAUGGUGAAGCAGAAGUGUGAUAAUAGAAAAGUGAGGACAUUAAAGCAUUGAAGAGGAAAAAUGAAACUGUCAUUGCAGUUUUUGCAAAAGAUGGCAGGCAGCAACGGAGAAUAAUUUUCAUCGUCAUUGUUAACAUCAAUAUUAUUAUUAUUAAUUUAAUUUAAGUAAUUUAAAUACUGUGUGAUCAAUGUUUGUUUAGUUUGUGAGUGACUUGUAUAAACAGGGAGAGUGUAUAUGUGUAGAGAUGGAAAUGUGUAUGUGAUUUGUGCUUGUACUUAUAGCACUCUUUAGUAAAACCAAGGGAGACCCUAGAUCUUCGAACAAAAACCGGUGACCCUGACCAAGCCACCACAAAAACUGACGACCUCGAACACACUGUCGUUAUAACUAUUCAAGCUUGACAGCCAUCUUACACAAUGACUGAAUUCCGUGCGUAUAGUGAAGAUCAAAUACGCCUUCGAACAAUGAACCUUCUACACAUCCUGAAUAAAUACUGAUGCACAAUCAUCUCAGCCAUCUUUACAUCUCAGCCAUCUUUACAUACUGUGCAUAAAAGUUUUUUCUGUUGAAAAAUUCAAAUGCAGAGGUUUUUUUUAUCACUGAUUUUCCACUUUGAGUCAUUUGGAGUGUGAGAAGUUUUCGACGUUCACCUAUUACCAACGACCCUAUUUUGGGCUUCCAAGAGUCCUCCGUAGACAGUUGAAUUAAAGUAUAAUUCUGAGAAAUAGUGGUCUAUUUUGGUCAAUAAAAAUUAAUUUGUGCAAUGAA